Xiphophorus hellerii (green swordtail) is the source of this 1129-nucleotide long non-coding RNA. RefSeq lists it as uncharacterized. The record is from RefSeq and is a predicted model, not a curated record. The transcript is spliced from 2 exons. Lineage: Eukaryota; Metazoa; Chordata; Actinopteri; Cyprinodontiformes; Poeciliidae.
UGAUAGUGUAGCAUGUAAUGUAAUUAUGUAGCAGAAUUAAUUUUAUUUAUUUAUUUUAUUUUUCUUUAUGAACCUUCUCAAAACUAAUUUUCUUUGAAUUGACAUGUCUGUAAUAUAUUAUUUCUGUUUUAUCUUGCUUUCAUUUUUGGUCCCUAGUGUGUAAAAGGCCAUCCUCAUCUAUGAAUAUCUGUUUUCCUUUGUUUUUUAAUUGUAUUUUGUUUCGGUGGGGAAGCUUUUAUUUUCUUACUUCCUGUUUGUGCGUUAUAUCUUGUGUGUUCCCGCUGCCCUCCUCAGUUCGCGCCAAGCUGCGCUGGGGAGAGGGUGUUUGUGGAGAAUCCGGAGCCCAGGAGCUGCUGUGCUUAAAAUGUUCUUGUUUUGAACAGGUAUGUGGGUUGUUUCAGAUUUUAUUCGGAUGUUAAAUUAAUGUAUUUAGUAUAUUUCUAUGUUAUGGUGGAAAAUUGUAAUUGUAGGGCAGAUUAUUUCUGUUUAGGUUUUAUUUUAAUUGCUUUGUAUGUCAGAGAAUUUUAGUUUUGUUUAAUGCAUUUCUGUCAGUUCGCGCCAAGCUGCGCUGGGGAGAGGGUGUUUGUGGAGAAUCCGGAGCCCAGGAGCUGCUGUGCUUAAAAUGUUCUUGUUUUGAACAAGAAUAAAAUUAUCCUGAAUCCUGAUUCCGAUGUGGUCCUGACUUCCUGUUUCACGACCGUUACAAUAGCAACAGCAAGGCACCAGAAUUUGUUAACAGACUAGAACAGAUAGAAGGGGAAUAGAAGUUCUGAGGCUUAAGAAGUUUCUCUAUGGAAAAUCACCAGCUCAGAGUUUUAAGAGUUUGAUGCACCUGCUGGAUACUCUGGUUUGACAAUGUUCUUGUUAUGCAAAAUUGUUCCAUUAGCAAACCUGAUUUUUGGGAAACUCACAUAUUUGAACAAGAAGAUGUUUAUCAUCCAAGGAGUUAACUGACCCUCCAGUGUGAUUACAUGGCUUGUAUAUUGUUCAGCUGAAACUGGAAUGACUGCAUUGUGUAACAUGAGUUCUAUAUAUUGUGAGAGCUUACAGCUCCAAAUCAGAACUCAGAGCAGCUUGCUGCUGUGUUUGUUCUCCGUCUGCAGACGAAAUAAAGCUUUGCUCUUUGCCA